This 405-nucleotide ribosomal RNA is filed under the name uncultured bacterium. Its description in RNAcentral is "partial 16S ribosomal RNA". It matches the Rfam family "Bacterial small subunit ribosomal RNA", at positions 28 to 526 of the family's 1533-position model. The record is from RNAcentral.
GAUGAACGCUGGCGGCGUGCUUAACACAUGCAAGUCGAACGAGUGGCGAACGGGUGAGUAAUACGUGGGUAACCUGCCCUCCAUUUGGGGAUAAGCCUUGGAAACGGGGUCUAAUACCGAAUAAAGGGGGAUGGGCUCGCGGCCUAUCAGCUUGUUGGUGGGGAGAUGGCUACCAAUGCGUGACGGGUAGCCGGCCUGAGAUGGUGACCGGCCACAGUGGUACGGAGAGACGGACGAGACACCUAUGGGAAGCAGCAGGGGGGGUGAUUGCACAAUGCGCGAAAGCCGUAUGCGGCGACGCCGCCUGGGGGAUGAAGGGUUUCGGGUGGUAAACUGCUUUAGACAGGGAUGCGGUACCUGUAGACUAAGCCACGGCUAACUACGUGCCAGCAGCCGCGGUAAUAC